This 253-nucleotide ribosomal RNA is filed under the name uncultured bacterium. RNAcentral's name for it is "partial 16S ribosomal RNA". It matches the Rfam family "Bacterial small subunit ribosomal RNA", at positions 524 to 776 of the family's 1533-position model. The record is from RNAcentral.
UACAGAGGUCUCAAGCGUUGUUCGGAUUCAUUGGGCGUAAAGGGUGCGUAGGUGGCGGGGCAAGUCUGGUGUGAAAUCUCGGGGCUCAACUCCGAAACUGCACUGGAUACUGCCUUGCUCGAGUACUGGAGAGGAGAUUGGAAUUUACGGUGUAGCAGUGAAAUGCGUAGAUAUCGUAAGGAAGACCAGUGGCGAAGGCGAAUCUCUGGACAGUUACUGACACUGAGGCACGAAGGCCAGGGGAGCAAACGGG